GAGCUUGAUACCACAGCAACAAUAUUGGCUAACCGGCAAGAUGAAAGUGAGCAGUCUAGGAAAAAACUUAUUGAGCAAAGUCGCGAGUUCAAGAAAAACACUCCAGAGGACCUGCGCAAACAGGUAGCUCCGUUACUGAAGAGUUUCCA
Molecule: long non-coding RNA, 149 nt
Organism: Nothoprocta perdicaria
Lineage: Eukaryota; Metazoa; Chordata; Aves; Tinamiformes; Tinamidae
Exons: 2
Source: RefSeq, a predicted model, not a curated record